Molecule: ribosomal RNA, 305 nt
Filed under: uncultured bacterium
Lineage: Bacteria
Description: bacterial SSU rRNA
Rfam family: Bacterial small subunit ribosomal RNA
Source: RNAcentral
UGCCUACGGGGGGCAGCAGUGGGGAAUAUUGCACAAUGGGGGAAACCCUGAUGCAGCGACGCCGCGUGAGUGAAGAAGUAUUUCGGUAUGUAAAGCUCUAUCAGCAGGGAAGAUAAUGACGGUACCUGACUAAGAAGCUCCGGCUAAAUACGUGCCAGCAGCCGCGGUAAUACGUAUGGAGCAAACGUUAUCCGGAUUUACUGGGUGUAAAGGGAGCGUAGACGGCAGGGCAAGUCUGGAGUGAAAGCCCGGGGCCCAACCCCGGGACUGCUUUGGAAACUGCCAUGCUAGAGUGCUGGAGAGGU